This 778-nucleotide ribosomal RNA is filed under the name Clavispora lusitaniae. RNAcentral's name for it is "partial large subunit ribosomal RNA". It matches the Rfam family "Eukaryotic large subunit ribosomal RNA", at positions 84 to 939 of the family's 3401-position model. The record is from RNAcentral. Lineage: Eukaryota; Fungi; Ascomycota; Pichiomycetes; Serinales; Metschnikowiaceae.
UAACGGCGAGUGAAGCGGCAAAAGCUCAAAUUUGAAAUCCUGCGGGAAUUGUAAUUUGAAGGUUUCGUGGUCUGAGUCGGCCGCGCCCAAGUCCAUUGGAACAUGGCGCCUGGGAGGGUGAGAGCCCCGUAUGGCGCACGCCGACUCUUUGCACCGCGGCUCCGACGAGUCGAGUUGUUUGGGAAUGCAGCUCUAAGUGGGUGGUAAAUUCCAUCUAAAGCUAAAUAUUGGCGAGAGACCGAUAGCGAACAAGUACAGUGAUGGAAAGAUGAAAAGCACUUUGAAAAGAGAGUGAAACAGCACGUGAAAUUGUUGAAAGGGAAGGGCUUGCAAGCAGACACGGUUUUACCGGGCCAGCGUCAAAUAAACGGGGGGGAAAAGGGGGAAAGAAUGUGGCGCGUGCCUUCGGGUUCGCGUGUUAUAGCUUUCUCUAAUACCCCCAUGUUUGUUUGAGGCCUGCGAUUCUAGGACGCUGGCGUAAUGGUUGCAAGCCGCCCGUCUUGAAACACGGACCAAGGAGUCUAACGUCUAUGCGAGUGUUUGGGUGCAAAACCCCAGCGCGGAAUGAAAGUAAGAGGUUGGAGCCGCAAGGCGCACAAUCGACCGACCCUGAAGUGCUCGGACGGGUUUGAGUAGGAGCAUAGCUGUUGGGACCCGAAAGAUGGUGAACUAUGCCUGGAUAGGGUGAAGCCAGAGGAAACUCUGGUGGAGGCUCGCAGCGGUUCUGACGUGCAAAUCGAUCGUCGAAUCUGGGUAUAGGGGCGAAAGACUAAUCGAA